Molecule: antisense RNA, 178 nt
Filed under: Hyella patelloides LEGE 07179
Lineage: Bacteria; Bacillati; Cyanobacteriota; Cyanophyceae; Pleurocapsales; Pleurocapsaceae
Description: Hyella sp. LEGE 07179 Antisense RNA which regulates isiA expression
Rfam family: Antisense RNA which regulates isiA expression
Source: Rfam by way of RNAcentral
AAUAGCCAAAAAUAAUUUCAGGGUUGAGAGUCGGAUUGCUAACGAUUCGGACAUCGGCAAUAGUGGAAUCGUAUAAGCCACCAUAGUACAUUCCUUUUGCUACUAGUAAAAAUACGCCUAAACCAAGCAAAAUCAGAUGAAUUCCGAUAAUGUCAGUCAUUUUAUUGGUGUCUUGCCA